This 500-nucleotide ribosomal RNA is filed under the name uncultured bacterium. Its description in RNAcentral is "partial 16S ribosomal RNA". It matches the Rfam family "Bacterial small subunit ribosomal RNA", at positions 30 to 523 of the family's 1533-position model. The record is from RNAcentral.
AUUGAACGCUGGCGGCAUGCCUUACACAUGCAAGUCGAACGGCAGCACGGGAGCAAUCCUGGUGGCGAGUGGCGAACGGGUGAGUAAUGUAUCGGAACGUGCCCAGUCGUGGGGGAUAACGUAGCGAAAGCUACGCUAAUACCGCAUACGAUCUAUGGAUGAAAGCGGGGGAUCGCAAGACCUCGCGCGAUUGGAGCGGCCGAUAGCAGAUUAGGUAGUUGGUGGGGUAAAGGCUCACCAAGCCGACGAUCUGUAGCUGGUCUGAGAGGACGACCAGCCACACUGGGACUGAGACACGGGCCAGACUCGUACGGGAGGCAGCAGUGGGGAAUUUUGGACAAUGGGCGCAAGCCUGAUCCAGCAAUGCCGCGUGCAGGAUGAAGGCCUUCGGGUUGUAAACUGCUUUUGUACGGAACGAAACGGCGAGCUCUAAUACAGUUUGCUAAUGACGGUACCGUAAGAAUAAGCACCGGCUAACUACGUGCCAGCAGCCGCCGUAA